Molecule: ribosomal RNA, 293 nt
Filed under: uncultured bacterium
Lineage: Bacteria
Description: partial 16S ribosomal RNA
Rfam family: Archaeal small subunit ribosomal RNA
Source: RNAcentral
GUGCCAGCAGCCGCGGUACUACCGGCAGCCCGAGUGGUGGCCGAUCUUAUUGGGCCUAAAGCGUCCGUAGCUGGCCAGACAAGUCCGUUGGGAAAUCCACGCGCUCAACGCGUGGGCGUCCAGCGGAAACUGCGCAGCUUGGGACCGGAAGGCUCGAAGGGUACGUUCGGGGUAGGAGUGAAAUCCCAUAAUCCCGCACGGACCACCGAUGGCGAAAGCACUUCGAGAAAACGGAUCCGACAGUGAGGGACGAAAGCCAGGGUCUCCAACCGGAUUAGAUACCCUGGUAGUCC